RNAcentral lists this ribosomal RNA (441 nucleotides) under uncultured Fastidiosipila sp. Its description in RNAcentral is "bacterial SSU rRNA". It matches the Rfam family "Bacterial small subunit ribosomal RNA", at positions 939 to 1382 of the family's 1533-position model. The record is from RNAcentral. Lineage: Bacteria; Bacillati; Bacillota; Clostridia; Eubacteriales; Oscillospiraceae.
AUGUGGUUUAAUUCGACGCAACGCGAAGAACCUUACCAGGGCUUGACAUCCUCUGACGGCGCAAGAGAUUGCGCUUUCCCUUCGGGGACAGAGAGACAGGUGGUGCAUGGUUGUCGUCAGCUCGUGUCGUGAGAUGUUGGGUUAAGUCCCGCAACGAGCGCAACCCCUAUUGCCAGUUGCCAGCAUGAAAGAUGGGCACUCUGGCGAGACUGCCGUUGACAAAACGGAGGAAGGUGGGACGACGUCAAAUCAUCAUGCCCCUUAUGUCCUGGGCUACACACGUACUACAAUGGCAACAACAGAGGGCGGCGAGGCCGCGAGGCCAAGCGAAUCCCAAAAUGUUGUCUCAGUUCAGAUUGCAGGCUGCAACUCGCCUGCAUGAAGUCGGAAUUGCUAGUAAUGGCAGGUCAGCAUACUGCCGUGAAUACGUUCCCGGGCCUU